RNAcentral lists this long non-coding RNA (2016 nucleotides) under Gallus gallus (chicken). The record is from RNAcentral. Lineage: Eukaryota; Metazoa; Chordata; Aves; Galliformes; Phasianidae.
CACCUACCUUCAUCUCCUCGUUGAUCUCCCGCUUCACCGGGAUUCUGUUACCGAUGAGUCCGCGUGCGCAACCUCUCAUCAAACGCAAGAGGUGCUCCCAGGAUCUCAGCAUCUCUCUCCCAUGGCAGGGACGGGAUAGGCAGCACGAGGGGAAGUUGCUUAUAAGCACCGUCGUGUAGCGUCAGAGCUGCAGGUUUGAAAGCUCUGAGAGCCAACCUCACAGAACCUUCCUGCUCUGAGGCACCAGCACCUUGCUCAUUCACGAAAUCACUCUGAGGAAGAAGGCAAAAUGAAUUUUUGCAUUAGGGACACAUCACUGGUUUCUCCGUAGUGCUGAUAACACAACUUUAGUGAAAAUCUCGGACCUUUUGCUACACAGAAUAACCAUGUUGCCCUGAAUGGUUAUUGUUUAGUGAAACAUCUGAAAACACAUAAUAGACUACUUGUUUGCAACGCUUGCUAUAGAUUUUGUAAUGAAGUGCCGUUGCGCUGCAUCAAUUUGACAGUUCGAGUUGAUAAUUUGACAGAAAGAUUAAUCCUAAACUCCCAGCAUAAACAGAAUUCCCUUUAAUGUCAGAAGGGACUUUGUAACUGCCAGCCCAAACGCUGCGGAUGGGCUUCAGCAGGUUACAGAGAGCGUCUUCAGGAUCAAAUUUGACAUUCCUCUUCCUGACUAACAGUUGGUAGUUGAAAAUAGAACACCUCUCCCAGUUCUGAAUUCUGACCCUCACUUCUUGCUCACCCAAACCGAGGACUUCCAGACUUCUUUUCCCAAACGCUCACCGCGAAGGCUUUUGAAUGCAGAUGUUCACUCGUGUCUCCUGACAGUAGGCUCAGUUUUCUCAGCUACUUUUAGUAAGCUCCUAAAAACAGCCCACGGUCCCUCAGAACCUCAUCAACAACUGGCUAAAAGCCACGGUCUCACUGUAUCCUUUUUUCUUUUGGUAUCUGCUACAGACUUUGGACAGGUACAAAAGUUCUACCUCUCUGGGUCCAGGUCUCUCUGUCUGACAGCACGUUAUUUCUGCAGCUGUCACAUCUCCUCAUUUUCUAGAGCUGUUAUUACCUUUACAUAAUACGUAUUAUUAUAUUACAUAUUCUUCAGAAGUUGUUCUUCCAGUGGCAACAUAUGGAGGACCAUCAACCGUCAAGACGGAAGUUCAUGCAACUGUCAAGACUGAAUUUCAUGCAUUCAGAAUGCUUAGGCACCAUCUGACACUCGUAGGUACUGAAAUAAGAUUUGGAAGCUGUCUGAUUGUUCCGUGCGUUAAUGGGGAGGCAAAGGCUAAAAAAGGGAGGCUUUUAUGUUUUAGUGUGGUAGUUCAUGAACCCAUAAGGGAGAGCAGAAUAUCGGAAUCUGCAGAAGCCAUAAAUAUUUCAGUCAUAGAGUGGCAUUGAUCUGAACAUCUCCAAAAAGUUAAGAAAAAUAAAUCUGGUGUUUACGUUACAGAGACCCUAACGUUAAAUACAUCUACUGAACUGUGACAGCACACAUUUCUUGUGUGAAAGCCUAUAUUUCUGAUAAGGAAACCUGGUUCAGCAGCGCUCAAUAUGGAUUCUGGAUAACAUCUUAAAGAGGUCAGUAGGGGUGGCUGAUCGGAUCGGUAGCACAGUUCUUGUUCGUUCUACCAGGCAGAGGUACAGAGCAAUGUGGCAUCGGUAGGCAGAUAUCAGCCAAAGAUAAAAUCCUGACCCUGUGGAAAUCAGUGAAGGUUUUUUUUUCCCCUGGUGAAAUAUUCGAGGGGAUUUUUUGUUGAUUCUAUCAUUUAGUGUGGAUUGGAAAGAAAUGAUUCCAUUUUCUUUGGGGAAAAAAAAAAAAAAAGGAAGGUUUUCCAAAUACAUUUCCAUUUUCUGAAGCAAAAUUUAGAUUUUCUCAAAGAAAGGAGGAAAAAAAGAUGAUACUCCUUAUUGUAACUCAUCUUUAAGGAGGCUGGGAACUUCAGGCUCCCCACAGUGAGCCCCAGUUGCAGUGCCGUCCAUAGACUCUCACUGCUUUAUCUGCUGAAGAGUUUUGUG